GUGCUUGCUUCAACAGCACAUAUACUAAAAUUGGAAUGAUACAAAGAUGAUUGGCAUGGCCCUUGUGCAAAAAAGACAUGCAAAUUCACGAACCACUCCAUAUUUUU
Onychomys torridus (southern grasshopper mouse) is the source of this 107-nucleotide small nuclear RNA. Lineage: Eukaryota; Metazoa; Chordata; Mammalia; Rodentia; Cricetidae. The record is from RefSeq and is a predicted model, not a curated record.